This 3261-nucleotide long non-coding RNA is filed under the name Nicotiana benthamiana. RNAcentral describes it as "long non-coding RNA (NBEN_LNC011216)". The record is from RNAcentral. Lineage: Eukaryota; Viridiplantae; Streptophyta; Magnoliopsida; Solanales; Solanaceae.
AAAAAAAAAAAAAAAAAAAAGAAACUAUCCACAUGAGAGCUAAGAGUCCGAUCUUCCACGCCUUUUGCUUUAAAUUGGACCAGCUAUAUAACAUUUUCUUUCCAUGGAAACCGGCCCAGAAACUAAACUCACUUCUGUGCUUUGUUUCACCCAUCAGGGUUUUGCAAUAGUGUUAGAUUUCUCAUAGGUCACUCACACAAAAAGGGAGGGAUGAGACACUUUUGUAGUACAGAGAUGCAGCUGAUCCAGGUUCAAUGUUAGUUGUUUAUGUUGGCUUGGCAACUGUUUCUUCUUUUGCCCCAAAGCUGAUGCAUCAUGAGUUGCUAGCUAAUACACUAAUGGAUGCAAUUGAGGAGGACCACCAAACUUCAGCAACUUAUAGUAAGCAAAUAAAAUUCUUCUCUUCUUUUUGCCACAGAGCUGAUGUAUCUAGGUUGUCGUAUGGAUGAUGUGUAUAAUCAUGUCUUUUGACAAUAGCUUCUUACUUUACUAAUAACAAAUUUGUACAAUUCUGUUGAGCAUCAACAACAAAUUAGAAAUUUAUAUUCUUCAUGACUUUUACAGUUUAAAAUCAGAGACAAAAGAUAAGUUUCGCUGUCAUGGAGUUAUUGGCUUCAUGAAAGCUUCCUCUGUAUCUACGUGCUUCCAGUAUAAUUUAAACUAACAGAUGAAUUGUACAAGUGAGCAAAUCUCUAGCUGACAAUUUUAUUAGAAACCAUCUCAUCUCUAACCUUGUAGCUUCCUUUGGUGAAUGUUUCUAAGAAUCUACUAUUGGCAUACCAAAGUCUGGGGUGGUGUAUGGGGAUUUUUUGGAAGGAAGUUAUCUCUAACCUUGUAGCUUCCUUUGGUGAAUGUUUCUAAGAAUCUACUAUUGGCAUACCAAAGUCUGGGGUGGUGUAUGGGGAUUUGACCACUUAACCACUUUAGGUUUAUAUGAGUAUGUGAGGUUUAGAAGGAACUUGCAAGACGGAGAGGUAGAUGAAUUUCAGAACUUGCUCAGACUGCUUCAUAGCCAAUAAGUUUCACAAGAUAGACAUGACGCAUGGAGAUGGGGCGCCGGGGUAAAUGGCAUUAUUCCCAUUAAGUCCUAUAUGGAUAGCUACUAUCUAGGGAGGAGUCGCUUUCCCACAUAAUUCGGUAUGGAUUCCUAGGGUACUGAUAAAGUUGUGCUUCUUUACUUGGCUAGCUACAAGAAGGGUGAUUUUGAUGGCGGAUAAUUUGAGAAAAGAAAGGUUACUUGUGUUAGUUGGUGCUUCAUGUGUAAAGAAUCAUGAGAAGACGUGAAUCACCUCCUUUUACAUUGCCGGAUAGCAUCUUAUUUGUUGGGACAAAUUUUGACUUAGAUUGGCAUAAAGUGGGUGAUGUCAGGCACGGUUAAGGAAACUACGCUUAGUUGGGCCAUUAGAAGACGGAAGAGAAGAUGAAGGGCUUGGAAUGUUGCUCCUCUUGCACUCAUGUGAUUUGCUUGGAGUGAGGAAUAUGUAGAGUGGGUGAUGUCAGGCACGGUUAAGGAAACUACGCUUAGUUGGACCUUUAGAAGACGGAAGAGAAGAUGAAGGGCUUGGAAUGUUGCUCCCCUUGCACUCAUGUGAUUUGCUUGGAGUGAGGAAUAGUAGAGCUUUUGAUGGAGUAGAAAAAGAUCUUGUAUACCUGAGGAGUAGCCUCUUUUCCCCUAUUUAUUUUUGGUGCAUCCAUGAGGUUCCUAUUUGUAUAGAAAAUUGGUUGUCAUUUCUAGAAAAACAUGUCUUUUUUGUAAGGUUUUCUACUUUUUGGUUACUCCUUGUAUAUUUUCUCUUUUUGUAAUGAAAUUAUUACCAUAUCAAAAAAAAGGUUUAUAUAUUUGUGAGGAAGUUGGUCGAUUAUCAGAGUCCAAAAGAAUUACAGUACAUUUUGGUUAAACAUAUGGACAUGAUAGUAUUCUAAUUCCUGCAUUGUUAUGUUGGCAUUUUAAAAGCAUUUGCUAUUUUAUCAUCUCAACAACAAGAAGAAAACAAAAAAAAAAAUUGCUUUUUUAUGUGUUCUUCCCGGUUGGAGAAUGAUUAAAACAUAAUAAAGAAUUUCUCCAUACUUUUCACACCCAAAUAAAACCUUAAAGAGCAGCCCGGUGCAUUAAGCUCAUGUUGUGCGCAGCGUAAGGGGAAGGGCCGGAGUUACCCUACAUUUCUGCAAGAGGUUGUUUCCACGGCUCGAACCUGUGACCUCCUGGACACAUGGCAACAACUUUACCAGUUUCCCAAUAAAACCUUAACUUAUCCCCCCCCCCAAAAAAAAAAAGAUUACAUAGAAUCUUGUAUAUCUUGGAUAAAAAAAGAUUCUUGGUUUCUUAUAAAAACAUACAUUUCCCGGUUUCACAUCUUAAGAUUUAAGAAGCACAGAAAAGACUUGAUAUGAAGUAUUCUUCAUGUGAACUAAACAUAUAUUUGUAUCUUAAAAUUCAUGUUAACUUUCUUAUAAAAUGAAUGAAAAAUCUCCAAUAAUAGCCUAAUUUUGAUCAGUGCUCACUCUUUAGUUUCCUUUUUAGAAUAAGCUUCAUAUUUCAGUUAGUCGGCAUAAGCACUUAAUGUAAUAAAUUUGGGGCUGUUUUUCCUAUAUAUUUUACCACGGUGCACUAAGUCAUACACUAGACAAGAAUUUUAAUGCACAAAUUAGUUCAUUUUGGAGUCAAUUUCUGCAAUUAAGGGAUUAGGUUUUGUUUUUUCCUAUCAAUUUUUUUAAAAUAAAUCUUCAAUUGCACCUAAAAAUUUUAACAUGCAGAUAAAACUUAGGUUUUUCGACAUUCAUUAUUGAUUACAAGUAAGCAAACGAUUGAAUAUUUUAAAACCACAAAAAUUACCAACAUGCAGAUAAAAAUUAGGUUUUUCGACAUUCAUUAUUGAUUACAAGUAAGAAAACGAUUGAAUAUUUUAAAACCAUAAAAAUUACCUGAGAAUUUUUGACGAUCAAGGUCGUCAAGCAACUUUUAGCUAUAUGAGAAAUCUUCUUAAUAUCCUGCAUUACCCAAAACCCCAGACAAAAAAGAAAGUUAAAAAAUUAGGAUAAAAAAACCACAGUUUCAGAAAAUUCAAAAACCCAAAAACAAAAAAGGUUCUCUCGUUUACAAAGUGAAAAUGAAAAGAGAAAGAUAUACCAGAGAUAAUUGAUUAGAGAGUGAAGAGUGAACAAGGAAGAUGAGUCCUAAAGGAGAUUUUGUUGUGAAGUGAGAGUUAGGAGGACAAUGAGUCAGAGAGAUUCCUGAAUUCGAUAUGUGGAUUUUCACGCAUU